This 77-nucleotide transfer RNA is filed under the name Camelus bactrianus (Bactrian camel). It matches the Rfam family "tRNA". From Rfam's summary of the family: Transfer RNA (tRNA) molecules are approximately 80 nucleotides in length. RNAcentral also lists the same sequence under 2 other names. Lineage: Eukaryota; Metazoa; Chordata; Mammalia; Artiodactyla; Camelidae. The record is from Rfam by way of RNAcentral.
AAGGGUAUAGCAGAAUGGUAGAGUGCAUGCCUAGCAUAGCAUGCAUGAGGUCCUGGGUUCAAUCCCCAGUACCUCCA